GGAGAGUGCAAAGGAGAUUAUGAGAAGCCAUAGUUGCAGAAGGAAAUGAAAUAUUGGAGUUAGCAAUGAAACACUAAAUGCUAAUUUCUAAUAGAUGGACAUUUCAUCCUGGAACUGUGUGCUUUUCCUAUAGAUUCUAACAAGGAGAUACUCUAUUCUUUAGUUUAUUAUAUUCUAGAUUAUCUAUUCCUACUAUUUUGUAAAUAACAAAG
RNAcentral lists this unclassified non-coding RNA (212 nucleotides) under Hevea brasiliensis (rubber tree). The record is from RNAcentral. Lineage: Eukaryota; Viridiplantae; Streptophyta; Magnoliopsida; Malpighiales; Euphorbiaceae.